GGCAUCAUGUCCAUCUGCCUUUGGCCGUGUAAGCAAUUAAUGAAUGAGUGACACCAUGAGCGCGUCAGGAGACGAGCGGUCUAUGAUCCGGGCUGAGGACUGUGAGAAUUAGGGGAAAGUUCACAGCACAGAGAAUGCCCACAUUAUGGGUUGGAGGUUUUUUUUUUUGCCAGACAACCCACAGUGACCACAGAGAAGGAGGCGCGUUAACCCUUUCCUGUCUAAGUGGGUGAAAGGUAACUGGGCGACUGCUGACGGUGCUGAGAGGGGAAGCUCGGUUCAAAGGGACCGCAGGCCUCUCACGUAUGCGUCUGGAAUGCGACAAACAUGCCUUUUUUCCCCCUCAAAGCCUCGGCACGGAGGGAUUUCCACCGGGACGCCGUGUUCUGGGGUGGUGGAGGAGCGGCGACUUGGCAGAGCAGACAGACGCCUGCUGAUCAUCGUGAACCUCUCAGAGCGACGGGAGUUUAAUGAACCCGGAGCUUCGGGCCUUCACUUCCUGACGUGUGGCCCGAAGCCGGCAUCUUAUCAGCAGAGACGCUUCACAUUCGCGGAGCUCUACUCCUCUGCAUCCUGUCAUUCCAGAGCCCAUCAUCACCGGAUCCGCACCACAGCUGCUUGUUCAAUUUCCCGAAAUGGCCGCAUCUAUAUACAGCACGCUGACCUUUUACCCAGAUUGUACACAGAACAUCUGUAAAUCAGGGCUGCAUUCAAACGCAGCCGAGUACCGUGACAUGGUAAAGAAAAAAAAAAAAAAAGGACUACAGGGUUUUAUAUUGAAUGAUUCUUCCAAUUGAGUACAUUUAUUACCUUAGAAGAUGCUUAUAAAUAAAGAAUUUGUCUCCCUACA
Molecule: long non-coding RNA, 850 nt
Filed under: Betta splendens (Siamese fighting fish)
Lineage: Eukaryota; Metazoa; Chordata; Actinopteri; Anabantiformes; Osphronemidae
Description: lncRNA (ENSBSLG00000026414.1)
Source: RNAcentral